RNAcentral lists this ribosomal RNA (253 nucleotides) under uncultured bacterium. RNAcentral describes it as "partial 16S ribosomal RNA". It matches the Rfam family "Bacterial small subunit ribosomal RNA", at positions 72 to 339 of the family's 1533-position model. The record is from RNAcentral.
GUCGAAGUUUACUUUGAUAUGUGAAAGUGGCGGACGAGCGAGUAACACGUAAGUAGUUGCCCUGUACUCGGGGAUAACUGGUCGAAAGAUCAGCUAAUACCGGAUAGUCUCGAAAGAGUAAAGAUUUAUCGGUACAGGAGACGCUUGCGGCCUAUCAGCUAGUUGGUAAGGUAAAGGCUUACCAAGGCUAUGACGGGUAUCUGGUGUGAGAGCACGGCCUGCCACAUCGAAACUGAGACACUGUUCGGACUCC